Non-coding RNA from Sphaeroforma arctica JP610, 73 nucleotides. The record is from Rfam. Lineage: Eukaryota; Ichthyosporea; Ichthyophonida.
UGGGAAUUAACUCAGUUGGUAGAGUGCGUGCUUAGCAUGCACGAAGUCGGGAGUUCAAUUCUCUCAUUCUCCA